AGCUGUAAUGGCUCAACGGAAGAAACCAUUCCAAUCCUCCCGCCCACCCCUUCUGUUGGCAACAACUCAACCAUCGGUGCCCGGUUCGAAUCUCGUGGUGGCCACCCACUCGCACAGGUAACUUGCGAAUUGCUGCGUGUGGCCCUAAGACCGCUUGGACACCGCUUCAGCCGAGCAAUCGGGCAGAGCGACUAAGCCCAUGAGGUGGCGAGUCCGGACUACAUUGAUUGUUUGGUGGGGUGUGAGGGAGGAGUUGUGGGAUGGUGACCUUCUUUU
Molecule: signal recognition particle RNA, 276 nt
Filed under: Aureobasidium subglaciale EXF-2481
Lineage: Eukaryota; Fungi; Ascomycota; Dothideomycetes; Dothideales; Saccotheciaceae
Description: Fungal signal recognition particle RNA
Rfam family: Fungal signal recognition particle RNA
Source: Rfam by way of RNAcentral